UCCCUGGUGGUCCGGUGGUUAGGACUCUGAGCUUCCACAGCAGGGAGUCUGGUUCAAUCCCUGGUCAGGGAA
This 72-nucleotide transfer RNA is filed under the name Bos taurus (domestic cattle). It matches the Rfam family "tRNA". From Rfam's summary of the family: Transfer RNA (tRNA) molecules are approximately 80 nucleotides in length. Their secondary structure includes four short double-helical elements and three loops (D, anti-codon, and T loops). Further hydrogen bonds mediate the characteristic L-shaped molecular structure. tRNAs have two regions of fundamental functional importance: the anti-codon, which is responsible for specific mRNA codon recognition, and the 3' end, to which the tRNAs corresponding amino acid is attached (by aminoacyl-tRNA synthetases). tRNAs cope with the degeneracy of the genetic code in two manners: having more than one tRNA (with a specific anti-codon) for a particular amino acid; and 'wobble' base-pairing, i.e. permitting non-standard base-pairing at the 3rd anti-codon position. Lineage: Eukaryota; Metazoa; Chordata; Mammalia; Artiodactyla; Bovidae. The record is from Rfam by way of RNAcentral. RNAcentral also lists the same sequence under 2 other names.